RNAcentral lists this ribosomal RNA (468 nucleotides) under uncultured bacterium. Its description in RNAcentral is "partial 16S ribosomal RNA". It matches the Rfam family "Bacterial small subunit ribosomal RNA", at positions 28 to 507 of the family's 1533-position model. The record is from RNAcentral.
GACGAACGCUGGCGGCGUGCUUAACACAUGCAAGUCGAACGGAAAGGCCCUGCUUUUGUGGGGUGCUCGAGUGGCGAACGGGUGAGUAACACGUGAGUAACCUGCCCUUGACUUUGGGAUAACUUCAGGAAACUGGGGCUAAUACCGGAUAGGAGCUCCUGCUGCAUGGUGAGGGUUGGAAAGUUUCGGCGGUUGGGGAUGGACUCGCGGCUUAUCAGCUUGUUGGUGGGGUAGUGGCUUACCAAGGCUUUGACGGGUAGCCGGCCUGAGAGGGUGACCGGCCACAUUGGGACUGAGAUACGGCCCAGACUCCUACGGGAGGCAGCAGUGGGGAGUAUUGCACAAUGGGCGGAAGCCUGAUGCAGCAACGCCGCGUGCGGGAUGACGGCCUUCGGGUUGUAAACCGCUUUCGCCUGUGACGAAGCGUGAGUGACGGUAAUGGGUAAAGAAGCACCGGCUAACUACGUG